RNAcentral lists this ribosomal RNA (407 nucleotides) under uncultured bacterium. RNAcentral's name for it is "partial 16S ribosomal RNA". It matches the Rfam family "Bacterial small subunit ribosomal RNA", at positions 30 to 526 of the family's 1533-position model. The record is from RNAcentral.
AUUGAACGCUGGCGGCAGGCCUAACACAUGCAAGUCGAGCGGAGCGGCGGACGGGUGAGUAAUGCCUAGGAAUCUGCCUGGUCGUGGGGGAUAAGGUCAGGAAAGGGGCGCUAAUCCCGCAUACUAUCAGAUGAGCCUAGGUCGAGUUAGCUCGUUGGUGGGGUAAAGGCCUACCAAGGCGACGAUCCGGAACUGGUCUGAGAGGAUGAUCAGUCACACUGGAACGGAGACACGGUCCAGACUCCUACGGGAGGCAGCAGUGGGAAAUAUUGGACAAUGGGCGAAAGCCUGAUCCAGCCAUGCCGCGUGUGUGAAGAAGGUCUUCGGAUUGUAAAGCACUUUAAGUUGGGAGGCGGUACCAACAGAAUAAGCACCGGCUAACUGCGUGCCAGCCGCCGCGGUAAUUC